This 794-nucleotide ribosomal RNA is filed under the name uncultured bacterium. RNAcentral's name for it is "bacterial SSU rRNA". It matches the Rfam family "Bacterial small subunit ribosomal RNA", at positions 8 to 796 of the family's 1533-position model. The record is from RNAcentral.
AGAGUUUGAUCAUGGCUCAGAUUGAACGCUGGCGGCACGCCUAACACAUGCAAGUCGAGCGGCAGCGCGAUAAGUAGCAAUACUUAUUGGCGGCGAGCGGCGGACGGGUGAGUAACACGUAGGAACCUGCCCAGAAGUGGGGGAUAACUAAUGGAAACGUUAGCUAAUACCGCAUAUAUUCGAGAGAAGAAAGCUGCAGCAAUGUGGCGCUUUUGGAGGGGCCUGCGUACGAUUAGCUAGUUGGUGAGGUAAUGGCUCACCAAAGCUAUGAUCGUUAACUGGUCUGAGAGGACGACCAGUCACACUGGGACUGAGACACGGCCCAGACUCCUACGGGAGGCAGCAGUGGGGAAUCUUGGACAAUGGGGGCAACCCUGAUCCAGCGAUGCCGCGUGAGUGAAGAAGGCCUUCGGGUCGUAAAGCUCUUUAGGCUGGGAAGAAGGUUGAUUGAGGAAAUGCUUUCAACUUGACGGUACCAGCAGAAUAAGCACCGGCAAACUCUGUGCCAGCAGCCGCGGUAAUACAGAGGGUGCGAGCGUUAAUCGGAGUAACUGGGCGUAAAGGGUGCGUAGGCGGUUUAGCGAGUGUGAUGUGAAAGCCCCGGGCUUAACCUGGGAAGUGCAUCGCAAACGGCUAGACUAGAGUAGAUGAGAGGGUGAUGGAAUUUCCGGUGUAGCGGUGAAAUGCGUAGAGAUCGGAAGGAACGUCGAUGGCGAAGGCAGUCACCUGGCAUCAUACUGACGCUGAGGCACGAAAGCGUGGGGAGCAAACAGGAUUAGAUACCCUAGUAGUCC